RNAcentral lists this ribosomal RNA (162 nucleotides) under Haematoloechus medioplexus. RNAcentral's name for it is "5.8S ribosomal RNA". It matches the Rfam family "5.8S ribosomal RNA". Rfam says of the family: 5.8S ribosomal RNA (5.8S rRNA) is a component of the large subunit of the eukaryotic ribosome. It is transcribed by RNA polymerase I as part of the 45S precursor that also contains 18S and 28S rRNA. The record is from RNAcentral. Lineage: Eukaryota; Metazoa; Platyhelminthes; Trematoda; Plagiorchiida; Haematoloechidae.
GUUACAACUCUGAGCGGUGGAUCACUCGGCUCGUGUGUCGAUGAAGAGCGCAGCCAACUGUGUGAAUUAAUGUGAACUGCAUACUGCUUUGAUCAUCGACAUCUUGAACGCACAUUGCGGCCAUGGGUUAGCCCAUGGCCACGCCUGUCCGAGGGUCGGCUU